AUGUGCAAGCCGAAGUAUAUGGGUGGUAUGGGCUUUCGGGAUAUUGAACUGUUUAAUCUUGCAUUACUAGCCAGACAGGUUUGACGAUUGCUUCAGGACCCGCUCUCCUUAAGUGUUAGAGGUCUAAAAGCAAGGUACUUCCCAGAGAAUGAUAUUCUGCAUGCAACUUUGGGGCCUCAUCCGUCUCAAGUUUGGCGAUCUUUGAUAGAGGGCAGGGAUGUCCUUGCUUUGGGACUAAUUGAGAGGAUUGGGACAGGAGCGGACACACCGAUUUGGCAAGACAAUUGGCUGCCACGUGAUUAUAAACUGAGACCAAUUUGCCCGAUUACGGCGAACCCGCCCCAUCUGGUUUCGGAAACUGAUCGAUCCAGUCACACGAACAUGGGAUACACAGGUCAUUAA
This 402-nucleotide ribosomal RNA is filed under the name Triticum aestivum (bread wheat). RNAcentral describes it as "partial small subunit ribosomal RNA". Lineage: Eukaryota; Viridiplantae; Streptophyta; Magnoliopsida; Poales; Poaceae. The record is from RNAcentral.